UACGUAGGGUGCGAGCGUUACUCGGAAUUACUGGGCGUAAAGCGUGCGCAGGCGGUCUCGCAAGUCCGAUGUGAAAUCCCCGGGCUUAACCUGGGAAUGGCAUUGGUGACUGCACGGCUAGAGUGUGUCAGAGGGGGGUAGAAUUCCACGUGUAGCAGUGAAAUGCGUAGAGAUGUGGAGGAAUACCGAUGGCGAAGGCAGCCCCCUGGGAUAACACUGACGCUCAUGCACGAAAGCGUGGGGAGCAAACAGG
RNAcentral lists this ribosomal RNA (253 nucleotides) under uncultured bacterium. RNAcentral's name for it is "partial 16S ribosomal RNA". It matches the Rfam family "Bacterial small subunit ribosomal RNA", at positions 524 to 776 of the family's 1533-position model. The record is from RNAcentral.